UCCGGUUUGUUUUGUUUAUUUUUGAUUUUCUCUGCGAAUUCAUAUAUAAUGUUAAACAACUUACAAUAUAAAAUAGUAAAUUAUUGAAGUAUGGAUGUAUAAAAAACAAUACCUUAAAUUCUUCCGUAGUCCAUAAUUCUUCCACGCACUUUUCGAAAGUGAAUCGAUCAAUGUAUGGAGGAAGACUAGCAUACAUCCUUUCAGUUGAUUCAUCAUCAACAAAUGGGUCAAAGUAUUUUUCCUUUAUGUAGUUUCGAUAACGCCUCCAAGUAUUGUUGAGUUUGAAUUUGAUGUAUUGAUGAGCAUUUGGGUAACCGUCUAAAUCAAAAUCAACC
Molecule: long non-coding RNA, 335 nt
Filed under: Zostera marina
Lineage: Eukaryota; Viridiplantae; Streptophyta; Magnoliopsida; Alismatales; Zosteraceae
Description: long non-coding RNA (ZMAR_LNC002223)
Source: RNAcentral